Molecule: long non-coding RNA, 678 nt
Filed under: Androctonus crassicauda
Lineage: Eukaryota; Metazoa; Arthropoda; Arachnida; Scorpiones; Buthidae
Source: RNAcentral
AUUUAGUGAAUACCAAAUUUUAGCAAUAACUAUUUCUAAAUUACUUAAUGAAUAAUUAUGUCCUACUAUUUUGCUAUUAUGAAAUAUUAAUAGAUACAGUACAGUAUAUACAUAAAUGAUUAAAUAUGCUUACCUUGCUUUGUUUGUGGGAAAUCCAAAAAGAGACACUUCGUUUGUUUUGGCUUCUUCUCUGCACAAAAUGCACAUUCUUUUUCUUUGAUUCUCCAUCUCUUCAAUUAAUAAAGAUGAAAUUGAAAAAUGUAAUUCAAAUUUCUUUUGUGCGAAAAAGCAAAUAUAGAAACAAUGAUAGCAUGUGGAUUGGAUGUCUGAUCUAUGGUUAGCACAUGGGUAUAAUGAUGCAAUAUUGAAAAGUCAUCAUUACAUAAUUCUAUUUCAUUCAGAAAUAUUACACAUUGUAUGCUAAUUAUUAAUAAAUAAAAAGUUAAUUAUUUGGUAAAGUUAUAAAAAAUAUAACUCUGUUAGAUAGCACUACGAUCUAUUUGUGACAUACAUGUUUCCAGUCAUGUGGGAUAGCUUCCCAUCUUUGUCUAAUCUGUGAAUUCAAACAUGGCGGCAAGAAAUAUCUAGACGAUCCCUGGAGGUGAGUUGGCAAUACUUUUUCUCCCAGAAAAUUAUGUAAAUUUGCAAUUAACCAGUACAUAAUAGUUUUUUUGAAGU